Long non-coding RNA from Eufriesea mexicana, 811 nucleotides. RefSeq lists it as uncharacterized. The record is from RefSeq and is a predicted model, not a curated record. NCBI's taxonomy places the organism in Eukaryota, Metazoa, Arthropoda, Insecta, Hymenoptera, Apidae. The transcript has 4 exons.
AGAAGAAUUAAUAAGAUUCACAUUUGAUCUAUUUUGAACUGGAAAAUAUUAUUUGGCAGAAUACGACAAAAUUGAAAAGCCUGAUAGUCCACUGAAUGGAAAUUUCUAUGACAAGAUUUUUUAUAACAAGAAGUGUCUGUCGCAUGAUUCCUCAAGAACAACAGAAGAUCCAUAAACCCAAUAAAAAUCCGAAAAAUCCACAUCAGAAGAGAAUCAAGGUCACAACAAGAUCGACGACUCCCGGGUGUCCAUAGCUCGAGUCCAAACAGCGUGCGACGCAUUCCACGCGAAAGCUGAAAUAACGCGAAUUUAACGCCACAUUCUCGUCGAUUGCUGGCAAGGGAAAAAAUAAGGCUAGUAAUUCAACGUGGCGGACGCUGGAUUAGUAACACUGGUCUACGUGCCUUUCAUCGACUACUGGAAGUGGCUGGCAGAGCCGGAUGUGUAGGUUACGCGUCCCUGACCUAGGUUGUCUUGAUAUAGUGGUGAAAAAAAAAGGAAGAAAUAAAUAAGACUGAGAGAAAAAGAAGCAACAAAUGGGGUAAACGAGCGUGGAAGGGGGACGGUCCGUGGUUACGCAUGGCCGCUGAAAUCGUCACGAAUAGGGAGCACGAACAAAAAUUCUGAACAUGUGCGAGAAAUUGUAUACGCGUAUAAACAUGACGGGGAACUCUCCGGUGUUGUUAACUCUGAUGCACAAGUACUUGUGGCUAGAUUUUUCUUGGUUCUUGCGAGUAGAGGAUCGAAACUGAUCAUGGCUUUUUGCGUGGACGAGAAGAAUGGGAAAUAAUAGUCACUAUAAGUGAUAAUG